Molecule: small nuclear RNA, 189 nt
Organism: Vicugna pacos (alpaca)
Lineage: Eukaryota; Metazoa; Chordata; Mammalia; Artiodactyla; Camelidae
Product: U2 spliceosomal RNA
Source: RefSeq, a predicted model, not a curated record
AUUGCUUCUCAGCCUUUUAGCUAAGAUCAUCUGUAGUAUCUGUUCUUUCCAGUUUGAUGCCAAGGAAGUUUGGUAAAAAUCCUGGAGAUGGUGUUGAGUGAUAGAAGCACUGGGAAAAAUAUGUACUCAGUUUACUAACCAGUCCAGGCUAUUUAAAGCCAUUAAUGAAGACCAAGAAGAUAAGUCCCA